ACAGCGGCAAGUUCGAGGGAGAUAUCAUACUGGAUGACUGGCAGGUGGAGGCGCUAGUGCAGCGGUACUCUGGGGCGAGGAAUGCUUUCAUAUGGAUCGACGCCAAUUGGCCCGAUAACACAGUUGUCUAUGAUUUCGCAGACAGCGAAUUUAAUGAGGAACAGAGAGAAGCCAUUUUCGUUGCGAUUAAAGACAUCGAAGAAAAUACUUGCAUUAAAUUCCGUGAGAGACGUCCCGAUGACAUCAACUUUGUAAAACUGACGAGUUUCGAUGAUGGUUGCUACGCCAGCGUCGGCUUCUGGGAGGCUCGCGGUGAUCAUAUCCUGAACCUGGCCCUGGACCCGCCCGGCGAAGGCUGCUUCAGACACACCACUAUUGUCCACGAGUGCACUGCACAUCAUCGGCUUCUUC
Long non-coding RNA from Papilio polytes (common Mormon), 411 nucleotides. RefSeq lists it as uncharacterized. NCBI's taxonomy places the organism in Eukaryota, Metazoa, Arthropoda, Insecta, Lepidoptera, Papilionidae. The record is from RefSeq and is a predicted model, not a curated record. The transcript has 3 exons.